Molecule: ribosomal RNA, 273 nt
Filed under: uncultured prokaryote
Description: partial 16S ribosomal RNA
Rfam family: Bacterial small subunit ribosomal RNA
Source: RNAcentral
CACGUAGGGGGCGAGCGUUGUUCGGAAUUACUGGGCGUAAAGGGCAUGUAGGCGGCCUUGUAAGCCUGGCGUGAAAGUCACCGGCUUAACCGGUGGAUUGCGUCGGGAACUGCAGGGCUUGAGUCACGGAGAGGGAGCUAGAAUUCCUGGUGUAGGGGUGAAAUCUGUAGAGAUCAGGAAGAAUACCAAUGGCGAAGGCAAGCUCCUGGCCGAUGACUGACGCUGAGGUGCGAAAGUGUGGGGAUCAAACAGGAUUAGAAACCCUAGUAGUCC